Molecule: ribosomal RNA, 228 nt
Filed under: Triticum aestivum (bread wheat)
Lineage: Eukaryota; Viridiplantae; Streptophyta; Magnoliopsida; Poales; Poaceae
Description: partial small subunit ribosomal RNA
Source: RNAcentral
GUCCAUGAUUGGUGGCUCAAAAUGAUCAACUCUCGAGGCCAUAUCAAGAAGGCGAUUGCCUCCGUUAUAAUGCUCGUCUUGUGGGAAAUUUGGAAGGAGCGAAAUGCGAGAAUCUUCCGCAACACGGCCACUCCGACCACUAUCAUAGCCGUGAAGAUCAAAGAGGAGGGCCGCCUUUGGGCGCUGGUUGGAGCUAGCCAUCUGAGUACUCUUAUGUCGCGAGAGUAG